RNAcentral lists this ribosomal RNA (468 nucleotides) under uncultured bacterium. Its description in RNAcentral is "partial 16S ribosomal RNA". It matches the Rfam family "Bacterial small subunit ribosomal RNA", at positions 28 to 507 of the family's 1533-position model. The record is from RNAcentral.
GACGAACGCUGGCGGCGUGCUUAACACAUGCAAGUCGAACGGAAAGGCCCUGCUUUUGUGGGGUGCUCGAGUGGCGAACGGGUGAGUAACACGUGAGUAACCUGCCCUUGACUUUGGGAUAACUUCAGGAAACUGGGGCUAAUACCGGAUAGGAGCUCCUGCUGCAUGGUGGGGGUUGGAAAGUUUCGGCGGUUGGGGAUGGACUCGCGGCUUAUCAGCUUGUUGGUGGGGUAGUGGCUUACCAAGGCUUUGACGGGUAGCCGGCCUGAGAGGGUGACCGGCCUCAUUGGGACGGAGAGACAGACAAGACUACUGCGGGAGGCAGCGGUGGGGAAUAUUGCACAAUGGGCGGAAGCCGGAUGCAGCAACGCCGCGUGCGGGAUGAAGGCCGUGGGGUUGGAAACCGCUUUCGCCUGUGACGAAGCAUGAGUGACGGUAAUGGGUAGAGAAGCACCGGCUAACUACGUG